RNAcentral lists this ribosomal RNA (1448 nucleotides) under Limosilactobacillus reuteri. RNAcentral describes it as "bacterial SSU rRNA". It matches the Rfam family "Bacterial small subunit ribosomal RNA". The record is from RNAcentral. Lineage: Bacteria; Bacillati; Bacillota; Bacilli; Lactobacillales; Lactobacillaceae.
CAUGCAAGUCGUACGCACUGGCCCAACUGAUUGAUGGUGCUUGCACCUGAUUGACGAUGGAUCACCAGUGAGUGGCGGACGGGUGAGUAACACGUAGGUAACCUGCCCCGGAGCGGGGGAUAACAUUUGGAAACAGAUGCUAAUACCGCAUAACAACAAAAGCCGCAUGGCUUUUGUUUGAAAGAUGGCUUUGGCUAUCACUCUGGGAUGGACCUGCGGUGCAUUAGCUAGUUGGUAAGGUAACGGCUUACCAAGGCGAUGAUGCAUAGCCGAGUUGAGAGACUGAUCGGCCACAAUGGAACUGAGACACGGUCCAUACUCCUACGGGAGGCAGCAGUAGGGAAUCUUCCACAAUGGGCGCAAGCCUGAUGGAGCAACACCGCGUGAGUGAAGAAGGGUUUCGGCUCGUAAAGCUCUGUUGUUGGAGAAGAACGUGCGUGAGAGUAACUGUUCACGCAGUGACGGUAUCCAACCAGAAAGUCACGGCUAACUACGUGCCAGCAGCCGCGGUAAUACGUAGGUGGCAAGCGUUAUCCGGAUUUAUUGGGCGUAAAGCGAGCGCAGGCGGUUGCUUAGGUCUGAUGUGAAAGCCUUCGGCUUAACCGAAGAAGUGCAUCGGAAACCGGGCGACUUGAGUGCAGAAGAGGACAGUGGAACUCCAUGUGUAGCGGUGGAAUGCGUAGAUAUAUGGAAGAACACCAGUGGCGAAGGCGGCUGUCUGGUCUGCAACUGACGCUGAGGCUCGAAAGCAUGGGUAGCGAACAGGAUUAGAUACCCUGGUAGUCCAUGCCGUAAACGAUGAGUGCUAGGUGUUGGAGGGUUUCCGCCCUUCAGUGCCGGAGCUAACGCAUUAAGCACUCCGCCUGGGGAGUACGACCGCAAGGUUGAAACUCAAAGGAAUUGACGGGGGCCCGCACAAGCGGUGGAGCAUGUGGUUUAAUUCGAAGCUACGCGAAGAACCUUACCAGGUCUUGACAUCUUGCGCUAACCUUAGAGAUAAGGCGUUCCCUUCGGGGACGCAAUGACAGGUGGUGCAUGGUCGUCGUCAGCUCGUGUCGUGAGAUGUUGGGUUAAGUCCCGCAACGAGCGCAACCCUUGUUACUAGUUGCCAGCAUUGAGUUGGGCACUCUAGUGAGACUGCCGGUGACAAACCGGAGGAAGGUGGGGACGACGUCAGAUCAUCAUGCCCCUUAUGACCUGGGCUACACACGUGCUACAAUGGACGGUACAACGAGUCGCAAACUCGCGAGAGUAAGCUAAUCUCUUAAAGCCGUUCUCAGUUCGGACUGUAGGCUGCAACUCGCCUACACGAAGUCGGAAUCGCUAGUAAUCGCGGAUCAGCAUGCCGCGGUGAAUACGUUCCCGGGCCUUGUACACACCGCCCGUCACACCAUGGGAGUUUGUAACGCCCAAAGUCGGUGGCCUAACCUUUAUGGAGGGAGCCGCCU